UGAAUACGAGAUGCUACGGCGUCGAAGCAGUCUAUGUCAUACUUCCAAGAAAAGCUUGCACUGUCAUAAACAAAUAAUGCCUGUACCAUAACCGACACAGGUGGGUAGGUAGAGUAUACUAAGGGGCGCGAGAUAACUCUCUCUAAGGAACUCGGCAAAAUGACUCCGUAACUUCGGGAGAAGGAGUGCCUUAUUUAUAAGGUUGCAAUAACAAGAUCCAAGCAACUGUUUACCAAAAACACAGGUCUCCGCUAAGUCGUAAGACGAUGUAUGGGGGCUGACGCCUGCCCAGUGCCAGAAGGUUAAAGAAGUUGGUUAGCAUCCGCGAAGCUGAUAACUGAAGCCCUGGUGAACGGCGGCCGUAACUAUAACGGUCCUAAGGUAGCGAAAUUCCUUGUCGGGUAAGUUCCGACCCGCACGAAAGGCGUAAUGAUUUGGAUACUGUCUCGGAGAGGGGCUCGGUGAAAUAGACUUGUCUGUGAAGAUGCGGACUACCUGCACCAGGACAGAAAGACCCUAUGAAGCUUUACUGUAACCUGAAAUUGAAAUUGGACUUUACUUGCGCAGUAUAGGUGGGAGGCGUUGAGAAUAUUCUUGCGGGAUUAUUGGAGCCAUCAGUGAGAUACCACCCUUGUAAUGUUAGAUUUCUAACUUUGUAUCAUUAUCUGGUCAAAGAACAGUUUCAGGCGGGCAGUUUGACUGGGGCGGUCGCCUCCUAAACGGUAACGGAGGCGCACAAAGGUUUCCUCUGAACGGGUAGAAAUCGUAUCUAGAGUGUAAAGGCAUAAGCAAGCUUGACUGUGAGACCUACAAGUCGAGCAGGGACGAAAGUCGGUCUUAGUGAUCUGACGGUGCUGAGUGGAAAGGCCGUCACUCAACGGAUAAAAGUUACUCUAGGAUAACAGGCUGAUCUCCCCCAAGAGUUCACAUCGACGGGGAGGUUUGGCACCUCGAUGUCGGCUCAUCGCAUCCUGGGGCGGUAGUACGUCCCAAGGGUUGGGCUGUUCGCCCAUGAAAGCGGUACGCGAGCUGGGUUCAGAACGUCGUGAGACAGUUCGGUCCAUAUCCGGUGUAGGCGUUAGAAUAUUGAGAGGAGCCUUCUUUAGUACGAGAGGACCGAGAAGGACAUACCUCUGGUGUACCAGUUAUCGUGCCAACGGUAAACGCUGGGUAGCUAUGUGUGGAGUGGAUAACCGCUGAAAGCAUCUAAGUGGGAAGCCCACCUCAAGAUAAGUAUUCUCA
RNAcentral lists this ribosomal RNA (1242 nucleotides) under metagenome. RNAcentral's name for it is "bacterial LSU rRNA". It matches the Rfam family "Bacterial large subunit ribosomal RNA", at positions 1564 to 2816 of the family's 2925-position model. The record is from RNAcentral.